Non-coding RNA from Paramuricea clavata, 255 nucleotides. Lineage: Eukaryota; Metazoa; Cnidaria; Anthozoa; Malacalcyonacea; Plexauridae. The record is from the annotation of a GenBank genome assembly.
GGCUCGACGCGUGAAUAUUUUUUCGCAGUGAUCGCAGUUAUUUCCAGGGUUUUCGUCUCGUCGCCAAUCAUUCCAUUCAGCCAAAAUCUGCUCCUGCGUCUCCGACGACCAGGACUCGAACAUUUCAUCCGCAGCAACGGCGCAAAGCUGGCGAUUGACAUCGUCAUUUUCCAGUUCGCUCAUAAAUUGAUCUCUCCUACAAAAUAUAGAAGUCGAUUACAUACACAAAACUCUCGAUAUUAUAUUAAUUUUCAG